AACGUAGGAGGCGAGCGUUAUCCGGAUUUACUGGGUGUAAAGCGCGUGCAGGCGGUCGUGUAAGUGGUGCGUGAAAGCUCCCGGCUCAACCGGGAGAGGACGUGCCAAACUGCAGGGCUAGAGGCAGGUAGAGGCGUGUGGAAUUCCGGGUGUAGUGGUGAAAUGCGUAGAGAUCCGGAGGAACACCAGUGGCGAAGGCGACACGCUGGGCCUGGCCUGACGCUCAGACGCGAAAGCAUGGGGAGCGAAC
This 250-nucleotide ribosomal RNA is filed under the name uncultured bacterium. RNAcentral's name for it is "partial 16S ribosomal RNA". It matches the Rfam family "Bacterial small subunit ribosomal RNA", at positions 524 to 773 of the family's 1533-position model. The record is from RNAcentral. RNAcentral also lists the same sequence under 1 other name.